GCCCUCGUGGAGCAGUGGAGUGCUCGCCUGCCCGUCAAGCAGGAGGCCGCCGGUUCGAACCCGGUCGUGGGCG
Molecule: transfer RNA, 73 nt
Filed under: Pseudonocardiales bacterium
Lineage: Bacteria; Bacillati; Actinomycetota; Actinomycetes; Pseudonocardiales
Description: tRNA-Asp
Rfam family: tRNA
About the family: Transfer RNA (tRNA) molecules are approximately 80 nucleotides in length. Their secondary structure includes four short double-helical elements and three loops (D, anti-codon, and T loops). Further hydrogen bonds mediate the characteristic L-shaped molecular structure. tRNAs have two regions of fundamental functional importance: the anti-codon, which is responsible for specific mRNA codon recognition, and the 3' end, to which the tRNAs corresponding amino acid is attached (by aminoacyl-tRNA synthetases). tRNAs cope with the degeneracy of the genetic code in two manners: having more than one tRNA (with a specific anti-codon) for a particular amino acid; and 'wobble' base-pairing, i.e. permitting non-standard base-pairing at the 3rd anti-codon position.
Source: RNAcentral